Vigna angularis (adzuki bean) is the source of this 555-nucleotide long non-coding RNA. RefSeq lists it as uncharacterized. The transcript is spliced from 3 exons. The record is from RefSeq and is a predicted model, not a curated record. Lineage: Eukaryota; Viridiplantae; Streptophyta; Magnoliopsida; Fabales; Fabaceae.
UUACAGAACUCAUGUAGAUCUGGUCAAUCCCUCAUGGUCCUCGUCGCCGGCUAUCGGCUUCGGAGAAGAAACUAUCCAACCCCAUGGGAGAAAUCAAGGUGCAAAAGCUCGUCCUCAACAUCUCCGUCGGCGAGAGUGGCGAUCGUCUCACCAGAUCCGCAAAAGUGUUGGAGCAACUUAGUGGCCAAACCCCAGUGUAGAAAGCUGACCUUUUAGAAAGUUGUUUGCUACUGCACUUUUGUGGCUGCAGUAUAUGAUAGGCGUUUUGAUCCGUGUCUGUGUCCUGGAUGCAAGCUGCAUUUGCCUGUGAUUUCAGUAUUAAGGAUUAUGAUAAAAUUGUGGCCUUGGUUUGUUGUGUGUUACAACUUAAAACCUUGUUUGGAAAGUCACCCAACAACCUUGCUACAAUAUUUCCUAAUAGGUAUUGAAGCUGGUUGCAGGUAUUAAAGCUAAAACAAAUGAGAUGGGAACUAAGGUUGUAGAGAAAGGAAGAUAGUGUCAAAAUGCAAAUUAUUAUGUUAAUGGAUACCUUCCAAUUCAUCAUGAUUGCAGAGU